AGUGUUGUUAAGCCAAUAAAAUUACCCGAUUGAACACAAGUUUACUGUAUAUAAGAACGACAAAACGUUGUGUAUAGUCACUGUAAGGGUAAGUGAAGAAACUUAAGAAGAGAUGAAUAUGUUCUUGCUUGUAGGCACCAUUAUCAUUGUUUUGUUAGAAAACAACGAAGUCGUUGGUCGUAGAUCUAUCAAUCAUAUGCUAAAGUUAACUAGAGAAAAUGGCAAAUUAACAUUAGGAAACAGUCCAAUUGGCAGAAUAAAUCAACGACAAGAUCGUCCUUCAACACCCUCGGGCCCACCAUUCGGGGCUCCACCAAUUGGGCGCCCACCAUUCGGGGUUCCACCAUUCGAGGCUCCACCGGCCGUGGUUCCACCGGCAGUGGUUCCACCAGUUUUACCUCCAGCAGAGCGUUUAAAUGGGAAAAGAGCAGAAGUGAAGAAAUCCCUUUAAAAAUAUUUAUAGCGGAUAAAUAAUAUACAAUUACCUGAAAAAUUUGCACUAAUAAAGGUAUAAAGUUUACACUGCACUAAAUAAGAGUAUAUUCUGCAUUAAUUCUUAUAUUAUUGUAAACAAUUAUAAAUUUUAAUAAGUUUAAAAGUUUGUAAUAUUAUGCUUUGAUGAGAAUAAAAAAGAAAAAACUUAUGAAAAUAUUCCGUAGUAUUUUCGUAUACGUGUGAAUUACCACAUAUUAAAUGGGCACACAUAAUCUAUAUAUGACAUUGAAUAAAGGAGUUUAAACACUGCACUUCCAGAUAGAAGAGCUCACAUUUAAUUAAGGAGCA
Centruroides sculpturatus (bark scorpion) is the source of this 783-nucleotide long non-coding RNA. RefSeq lists it as uncharacterized. The record is from RefSeq and is a predicted model, not a curated record. The transcript has 3 exons. Lineage: Eukaryota; Metazoa; Arthropoda; Arachnida; Scorpiones; Buthidae.